GAUGAAUGCUGGCGGCGUGCUUAACACAUGCAAGUCGAGCGGCAGCGCGAAGAGUUUACUCUUUGGCGGCGAGCGGCGGACGGCUGAGUAACGCGUGGGAACAUGCCCUAAAGUGAGGAAUAACUGCCCGAAAGGGUGGCUAAUGCCGCAUAUGAUCUUCGGAUUAAAGGAUUUAUCCGCUUUAGGAGUGGCCUGCGUAUGAUUAGGUAGUUGGUGAGGUAAUGGCUCACCAAGCCGACGAUCAUUAGCUGGUCUGAGAGGAUGACCAGCCAGACUGGAACUGAGACACGGUCCAGACUCCUACGGGAAGCAGCAGUGAGGAAUAUUCCACAAUGGGCGAAAGCCUGAUGGAGCAACGCCGCGUGAAGGAUGAAGGCCCUCGGGUCGUAAACUUCUUUUAUAAGUGAAGAAUAUGACGGUAACUUAUGAAUAAGCACCGGCUAACUACGUGCCAGCAGCCGCAGUAA
RNAcentral lists this ribosomal RNA (467 nucleotides) under uncultured bacterium. RNAcentral's name for it is "partial 16S ribosomal RNA". It matches the Rfam family "Bacterial small subunit ribosomal RNA", at positions 28 to 523 of the family's 1533-position model. The record is from RNAcentral.